AGUGUGUGUGUGUGUGUGUGUGUGUGUGUGUGUGUAAGAGUUUCAAUGGAAAAGAAUUAUCAUCAUAAUGGUAUGUGGUAUACACACACACACACACACACACACACCCC
This 110-nucleotide microRNA precursor is filed under the name Podarcis lilfordi (Lilford's wall lizard). The record is from RNAcentral. Lineage: Eukaryota; Metazoa; Chordata; Lepidosauria; Squamata; Lacertidae.